UUUGACCCUAGUACGAGAGGACCGGGUUGAACGUACCUCUGGUGUACCGGUUGUUCUACCAAGAGCAUGGCCGGGUAGCUACGUACGGAACAGAUAAGCGCUGAAAGCAUAUUAAGCGCGAAACUGACUUCAAGAUUAGAUUUCCCUAUGAGAUCCCUGAUAGACGAUCAGGUUGAUAGGUGCAAGGUGGAAGUGCGGCAACGCAUGGAGCCGAAGCAUACUAAUAGAUCCAUUGAUUUUUUAUG
RNAcentral lists this ribosomal RNA (245 nucleotides) under Candidatus Kaiserbacteria bacterium. Its description in RNAcentral is "partial 23S ribosomal RNA". It matches the Rfam family "Bacterial large subunit ribosomal RNA", at positions 2671 to 2925 of the family's 2925-position model. Lineage: Bacteria; Candidatus Kaiseribacteriota. The record is from RNAcentral.